CCUACGGGAGACAGCAGUGAGGAAUAUUGGUCAAUGGACGCAAGUCUGAACCAGCCAUGCCGCGUGAAGGAAGACGGCUCUAUGAGUUGUAAACUGCUUUUGUACGGGAGUAAACGCAGAUACGCGUAUCUUUCUGAACGUAUCCUACGAAUAAGGAUCGGCUAACUCCGUGCCAGCAGCCGCGGUAAUACGGAGGAUUCAAGCGUUAUCCGGAUUUAUUGGGUUUAAAGGGUGCGUAGACGGUCGGAUAAGUUAGAGGUGAAAGCCUGAGGCUCAACCUCGGAAUUGCUUUUGAUACUGUUCGGCUAGAGAGUAGGUGAGGUAGGCGGAAUGCAUGGUGUAGCGGUGAAAUGCUUAGAGAUCAGAAAGAACACCGAUUGCGAAGGCAGCUUACUAAGCUACAACUGACGUUGAGGCUCGAAAGCGUGGGGAGCAAACAGGAUUAGAUACCCGGGUAGUC
RNAcentral lists this ribosomal RNA (460 nucleotides) under uncultured bacterium. RNAcentral describes it as "partial 16S ribosomal RNA". It matches the Rfam family "Bacterial small subunit ribosomal RNA", at positions 338 to 795 of the family's 1533-position model. The record is from RNAcentral.